GAGCCGGCUAGCAGCAGUCAAGGCAAAGCGGGCAAGGCGGUCCAGUCGCAUUUCGCUGAGACGUCCUUGCCAACCGGCCGGCACAGCUGCUUCACCGCUCCCGUGAGCCCUGCGGAAGCGUUAUGGAACCGUGUGACGGAGCGUUUUCCACGUAAAGGGGCCAUGUGGGUGGCCUUCAGGAACGGGCCGAGGGGUUGCCGCGCGCCCUGUGACGACGGCGUCCAGCUCCCAGUGUGGCCGAAGCGCGCGGCCUCAGGAUGUGGCCGAGCGCAGGAGACCCUGACCGAGAGACGGCAGCCUGGCGAUGGCAGGAACUUCCCAGAUGGCGAGGCGGCCUUCCUUGGCGCUCCAUGUGGAUCCUCCCCGCUGGGCAUCCGAGAGCUGAGUCGGAGGCUGCGAAUUGCAGAGGGGCUGAAAUCGGGGUGCCGGGUUGGGACUCUGGACCUGGGAUUAUGGAGUCAGCUUUGGGGACGGGGAGGUCCAGGCUGUGGCCCCUUAGGCCACGUGAAGGGAGAGCCUCACAUUUGUUCACAGUGCUGAGGUGUGCAGGACGGAGCAGCCCCAGGGCGUGUCGUAUCACUUGUCCGUCGUGCCUUGUGUGUCUUUUGUGCUUCUUGUGUUGUACGUGCCUCGCCUUAUCUCUUCUGGGGGCUUACCAGAAACCCCGGUGUCACUCGUAGCAUCUCUGAUCUCUGGGCUCCUCAGCCCGACACCAUCGAAGCUUUGCCUCUGGAGCUCUCAGAGGCCUUGGAAUCGCGUCUCUCUUUUAAAAGCAUCCGAUCGGAUGUCUUUUAGAGGUCUUGUUCUGAGCUGUGUCGACAGCCGUGCGCCGCGAGGAUCCAUUGCUGCGGCUUAGGUCUUGAAGAAACGCAGAGAUAGGUAGGGGACUGUGGCCCUCAGAUUCUCGGGCAUCCGUCUUGGCAGUUGCUGGAGUUUGUCAUUCCAUUAGCAUCUUCUUCCUCCCGGGUUCUGUGAGCUUCAUCAGCUCGCCUUCAUUCUCACCCGGCUCAUCUCGUUCCGCGUUCUCUCGGUCCUUGUAGCCAUUCUUGUGGCCCAGAGUUUUGUCUCCCCAUUGUGUCCCCUCGUCUGUUGUCUUGUGUGUCACGGGUGUCUGGGUGUAGUUGUCCCGGAGCUGCUCUGUCCUGCUGCCCAGUCUGGGUGUAGAUGUAAAAGGCCAAGUCCCAGGCCCCUGUAAUUUGAAAUUUGUCAUGUAGGGCAUAGUUGGAGUCUAGAGGGUGUUCCUAGAUCCUCACAAGAUGUCUGGAGCUGUGAAGUUAUCCUGCAGCACUUUGACUUUUGUCUUAGCUUUCUAAGCAUUGCAUUAUUUUCUGCCCAAUGUGGGGUUCAAAAGAGUAAGAAAAACCUAUACUGAUUACGUUAUAUUGGUACUUCUGUGUGUUGGGGUAAAGGACUUUGUAAUGGUGUUCCUUAAGUUCACGUCUCUCAGGGUUGAGCCCAUCAUGUAGUUCUAGUCUCUGAGCUUUUUUUCAAGUUUUAGUGCCUUUCUUGUCCCUAAGUUUAUUUUUUUAUCCAAAAAUAACUCAAAUAUUGUCCCUAAUACAUAACUUUUACGAAGUAAAAGGGCACAGAUUAAAAUAGCUGUUAUGCUAAGCUGAGUAAUAAUGAUUGAUAAAAACUUUAUAAAAGUACUGAAGUUUGUACCAAGUAGCUUUAGUUUUUAGUUUCUUUGUCCUCCCCUACAUACCAAUCCCAGUAACAUGUUUUAGAAGUGUAUUAGUAAUUAUACCCAGUUUAUUAGAAGAGCAGC
Molecule: long non-coding RNA, 1768 nt
Organism: Poecile atricapillus (Black-capped chickadee)
Lineage: Eukaryota; Metazoa; Chordata; Aves; Passeriformes; Paridae
Exons: 4
Source: RefSeq, a predicted model, not a curated record